AACGAACGCUGGCGGCAUGCCUAACACAUGCAAGUCGAACGAGACCUUCGGGUCGAGUGGCGCACGGGUGCGUAACGCGUGGGAACCUGCCCUUAGGUUCGGAAUAACUCCCCGAAAGGGGUGGUAAUACCGGAUAAUGUCUUCGGACCAAAGAUUUAUAGCCUUUGGAUGGGGCCGCGUUGGAUUAGCUAGGUGGUAGGGUAAAAGCCUACCAAGGCGACGAUCCAUAGCUGGUCUGAGAGGAUGAUCAGCCACACUGGGACUGAGACACGGCCCAGACUCCUACGGGAGGCAGCAGUGGGGAAUAUUGGACAAUGGGCGCAAGCCUGAUCCAGCAAUGCCGCGUGAGUGAUGAAGGCCUUAGGGUUGUAAAGCUAUUUUACCCGGGAUGAUAAUGACAGUACCGGGAGAAUAAGCUCCGGCUAACUCCGUG
RNAcentral lists this ribosomal RNA (433 nucleotides) under uncultured bacterium. RNAcentral describes it as "partial 16S ribosomal RNA". It matches the Rfam family "Bacterial small subunit ribosomal RNA", at positions 29 to 507 of the family's 1533-position model. The record is from RNAcentral.